GACGAACCGUCCAAACGUUAUUCGGAAUUAUUGGGCUUAAAGGGUGCGUAGGCUGUGCAGUAAGUUGGGUGUGAAAUCCCUCGGCUCAACCGAGGAACUGCGCCGAAUACUGCUGUGCUAGAGGGAGAUAGGGGUAAGCGGAACUGAUGGUGGAGCGGUGAAAUGCGUUGAUAUCAUCAGGAACACCGGUGGCGAAGGCGACACACUGGGUCUCAACUGACGCUGAGGCACGAAAGCCAGGGGAGCAAACGGG
This 253-nucleotide ribosomal RNA is filed under the name uncultured bacterium. Its description in RNAcentral is "partial 16S ribosomal RNA". It matches the Rfam family "Bacterial small subunit ribosomal RNA", at positions 524 to 776 of the family's 1533-position model. The record is from RNAcentral.